AAAUAUAAAAUAUAUUGGGGAUGCUCUUAACAAAUAAAAUAUCUAUUUUAAUAGAAAAAGGAGAUGAGCUCUCCGUCGCUCCGUAAUUUUCAUAGAAUUAUAGCUAAUAUGGAAUGGAUUGAAGCCGGUCACCACAAUGCUGACUUCAAAGCCGGAAGAUAGACCCAACUAAGAUGAGGUCAUGGGUGCUCUUGACAAAAUAUUCUUAAAAACUGUUUCCUUAGAAUUUGAAUCUAGAAUUUAGAAUCCCUCGGUGAAAGCCAUCUCGACCAAACUACCACCCUAGACGAUAACAAAAUAUUUUAUGUAUGUUGCUAUAUUUUUAUCAAGUUUUUUUAGAUGCCUCCUGAAUUUAUGUCCAAGAGUCAAAUACACUAAAUUUAAACUUUUUAACAAAUAGUUCUCUAAGUUUAUAUCCAAAGAUCAAAUACAUUUAAUUUAAAUUUUUUUAGCAAAUAGCUCUUAAAACUUUUGUCCAAGGAUUAAAUACAUUCAAUUUAAACUUUUUUACCAAAUAAUCUCCUUAAACUUUUUCAGAAAAUGACAGUUGGACACAGAUUGAGUGGGUUAAUUGCUGAAAUAUUUAAAUUGGAU
Molecule: long non-coding RNA, 594 nt
Filed under: Ricinus communis (castor bean)
Lineage: Eukaryota; Viridiplantae; Streptophyta; Magnoliopsida; Malpighiales; Euphorbiaceae
Description: long non-coding RNA (RCOM_LNC003254)
Source: RNAcentral